This 482-nucleotide ribosomal RNA is filed under the name uncultured bacterium. Its description in RNAcentral is "partial 16S ribosomal RNA". It matches the Rfam family "Bacterial small subunit ribosomal RNA", at positions 30 to 507 of the family's 1533-position model. The record is from RNAcentral.
AUUGAACGCUGGCGGCAUGCCUUACACAUGCAAGUCGAACGGUAACGGGCCUUCGGGUGCCGACGAGUGGCGAACGGGCGAGUAAUACAUCGGAACGUGCCCGAUCGUGGGGGAUAACGAGGCGAAAGCUUUGCUAAUACCGCAUACGAUCUACGGAUGAAAGCAGGGGACCGCAAGGCCUUGCGCGGACGGAGCGGCCUAUGGCCGAUUAGGUUGUUGGUGGGAUAAAAGCUUACGAAGCCGACGAUCUGUAGGGGGUCUGGGAGGAUGAUCAGCCACACUGGGACUGAGACACGGACCAGACUCCUACGGGAGGCAGCAGUGGGGAAUUUUGGACAAUGGGCGCAAGCCUGAUCCAGCCAUGCCGAGUGCAGGAUGAAGGCCUUCGGGUUGUAAACUGCGUUUGUACGGAACGAAAAGCCUUCUUUUAAUACAGGAGGGUCAUGACGGUACCGUAAGAAUAAGCACCGGCUAACUACGUG